AACGAACGCUGGCGGCAUGCCUAACACAUGCCAGUCGAACGAGACCUUCGGGUCUAGUGGCGCACGGGUGCGUAACGCGUGGGAACCUGCCCUUAGGUUCGGAAUAACUCCCCGAAAGGGGUGCUAAUACCGGAUAAUGUCUUCGGACCAAAGAUUUAUCGCCUUUGGAUGGGCCCGCGUUGGAUUAGCUAGUUGGUAGGGUAAAAGCCUAUCAAGGCGACGAUCCAUAGCUGGUCUGAGAGGAUGAUCAGCCACACUGGGACUGAGACACGGCCCAGACUCCUACGGGAGGCAGCAGUGGGGAAUAUUGGACAAUGGGCGAAAGCCUGAUCCAGCAAUGCCGCGUGAGUGAUGAAGGCCUUAGGGUUGUAAAGCUCUUUUACCCGGGAUGAUAAUGACAGUACCGGGAGAAUAAGCUCCGACUAACUCCGUG
Molecule: ribosomal RNA, 433 nt
Filed under: uncultured bacterium
Lineage: Bacteria
Description: partial 16S ribosomal RNA
Rfam family: Bacterial small subunit ribosomal RNA
Source: RNAcentral